RNAcentral lists this long non-coding RNA (1137 nucleotides) under Homo sapiens (human). RNAcentral describes it as "HSALNT0360991". The record is from RNAcentral. Lineage: Eukaryota; Metazoa; Chordata; Mammalia; Primates; Hominidae.
UUCUCCCAGAAGAGAAGGGAGAGCACAUGCCCAGGCUCCAUGGACUUCCGGUUCUCCCCUCCCUUCGCACCCCCACAAUGAGGUCACGACGGGAUGCCACCACCAGCUGGUCCCUUCCAGAGCUCUGUCUGAACUCCACCAGCCUUGCUUCUGGCCUCAUCCUGCAGACCCAGGGGACACCUCCACUUGCAAGUUCAGUCCAUGGGCACUGCACACUCUCUCGGCCCCAAGUUGAACCCCUUUUCCUCACCCAACAUCCUCCAUUUCAACAAAUGGCAGCGUUGUGGGUAAAAUAACACCUCCUUCAGAGACAUUGACAUCCUCAUCCCUGACUUCGGCUGCAGCUCAGUGGUGCAAUCUCAGCUCAUUGCAACUUCCACCUCCCAGGAUGAAGCAAUCCUCCCACCUCAGCCUCUCCAGUAGCUGAGACUUCAAGCUCCCUCCAGCAGCCGAGCUGAUUUUUGUAUUUUUUUAUAGAGAUGGGGUUUCACCAUGUUGCCCAGGCUGGUGUCAAAUCCCUGGGCUCAAGUAAUCUGCCCACCUCGACCUCCCAAAGUGCUGGGAUUGCCUGCGUGAGCCCCAUCCCCGGCCUGCUCAUUUCCUUCUAGUGCUGAAGAAUAUUCCGAUGUCUGGAUAGACCACAGUUUGUCUGUCCACUCACCUCUAGGCAGACAUCUUGGUUGCUUCCAGUUUUUAGUGACGGUGAAUAAAACUGCUCUAAACAUUCGUGUGCAGGUGUUGGUGUGAACAUAAGUUUUCAACUCAUUUAUCGAGUGGCUGCACCGUUUUGCAGUUCCGCCAGCAACGCAUGAGACUUCCUGUUGCCGCACGCCCACCCCGGCAUUUGGCGUUGUCAGUGUUUUGGAUUUUGGCCAUUCUUACAGUUCUAGGGUACAGGUGCACAACGUGCAGGUUUGUUACAUAUGUAUACAUGUGCCACAUUGGUGUGCUGCGGAGCAGAGUUCUUAAGGACAACUUGGCGGUACGGGGAAGCCAGUGAGGCAGGAGUGCUGAUUGGCCAGGGAUGAAAUCACAGAGGGUUGGAGCUGUCUUCUUGCGGUGAGUCAGUUCCUGGAUGGGGGCCACAAGAUCAGAUGAGCCAGUUUAUUGAUCUGGGUGGUGCCAGCUGAUCCGUCA